Long non-coding RNA from Mercenaria mercenaria, 755 nucleotides. RefSeq lists it as uncharacterized. The transcript is spliced from 2 exons. The record is from RefSeq and is a predicted model, not a curated record. Lineage: Eukaryota; Metazoa; Mollusca; Bivalvia; Venerida; Veneridae.
AUUCCAGAUAUUCCCUUCAGUAACUAUACUGUACCAAGGAAUAUUGCUCAUGAAUACAAAAAUUUGAAUGUAAACAGGAAGUGCUUUGUUCUAGAUGUUGGAGGCAAAAUGGAAUGGAGCUAAAUAAUUUUGUACCUUGAAAUUCUAAAAUGCUUUUAGAGAGAUAUCAGGUAAGAACAUUAAACUUUCUAAACUAAAAUAUAAUUUAAAUCUAUAUAUCAUAGAACUAAAACAAAUAGACUGAAGCAGGAACUUUAUUCAUCUCAGUGGCUUAAACUUUCACCUGGUUACAGGUAUUUUUUAAGGUAUAUGUGAAUGAUACAUAAUUAUGCUUCUGUAGCAACAGUUUAUUUAAUGCAUAUAGUUCUUGCAGUUUUCUAUUAUUCAUUUCUUGUAAUUAGUCCUACAAUCACUUUGGCUUACAACAAAGUCUAAACAUUAUGUUAUAAUUUUACUUUGCAGAUACAAGAGUGUACAUAUUGAGUUAUUAGAAGCAUUGUCUUCAACAUGUAUGAAUGAAAUGAUGUAAUCAGAGAUAAUUGAUGGCUUUAGUGACUAUGCUACAGGAUGAAAUGAGAUCACAGACAGAGACCCCAUCAAACACUUAACUAAAUGGCUGGAAUGAGGUUCCUGACCCUGGUGAUGGUUUUAGCAAAGCUAAGAGACAUUCUGGUGCCACCUAUAUUGAGCCAACAUAACUCCAAAAAUGAUUUUGUUGUAUUCAUAACUUUCUAUUAAAUAAUUUUUAUAUUUAA